AUAAGCAGCAGGAACCAGAUAUCAUUCUAAAUGGAGCAGAGGAGGUACCGUCAAGGAUCUCAAGUCCUUUUUUGUGGGCAGACUUGACACCUUGUCAUCAAAUUUACAUGAAUGAACAUUAAUGAUGUACAUGUACUUAAAUGUCUAUCUCUUUCUCUAGUAAUUCUGUAACUCUCAUGUGUACUACUUGUGGUGUUUGCAAAGUCUCUCUUCUCAGGGAAUUCUGUAACAAAACAGGAGUACAGAUUACAUUGAAGGAUUACAAAUUUUCCUUGACUGCUCCAUUCAAUGAAGGUGAUCUUGCCUGUAUUGUACCUGUUGUUAAGCACACUGAUUUUAAAGUGAUCUAAUUUUUUUGGAAUUCUAAUCCAGUGAAAUUAAAA
This is a long non-coding RNA of Amphimedon queenslandica, 383 nucleotides long. RefSeq lists it as uncharacterized. The record is from RefSeq and is a predicted model, not a curated record. Lineage: Eukaryota; Metazoa; Porifera; Demospongiae; Haplosclerida; Niphatidae. The transcript has 4 exons.